Molecule: ribosomal RNA, 253 nt
Filed under: uncultured bacterium
Lineage: Bacteria
Description: partial 16S ribosomal RNA
Rfam family: Bacterial small subunit ribosomal RNA
Source: RNAcentral
UACAGAGGUCUCAACCGUUGUUCGGAUUCAUUGGGCGUAAAGGGUAGGUAGGUGGUCUCAUUUGUCCGGGGUGAAAUCCUUGGGCUUAACUCAAGAAGUGCCCCGGAAACGGUGAGACUAGAGUACUGGAGAGGGUCGUGGAAUUCCCGGUGUAGCGGUGAAAUGCGUAGAGAUCGGGAGGAACACCAGAGGCGAAGGCGGCGACCUGGACAGUUACUGACACUCAACUACGAAAGCGUGGGGAGCAAACAGG